RNAcentral lists this small nuclear RNA (192 nucleotides) under Castor canadensis (American beaver). RNAcentral describes it as "U2 spliceosomal RNA (ENSCCNG00000030234.1)". It matches the Rfam family "U2 spliceosomal RNA". From Rfam's summary of the family: U2 is a small nuclear RNA (snRNA) component of the spliceosome (involved in pre-mRNA splicing). Complementary binding between U2 snRNA (in an area lying towards the 5' end but 3' to hairpin I) and the branchpoint sequence (BPS) of the intron results the bulging out of an unpaired adenosine, on the BPS, which initiates a nucleophilic attack at the intronic 5' splice site, thus starting the first of two transesterification reactions that mediate splicing. The record is from Rfam by way of RNAcentral. Lineage: Eukaryota; Metazoa; Chordata; Mammalia; Rodentia; Castoridae.
AUUGCUUUUUUGACCUUUUGACUCAGAUCAAGUGUAGUAUCUAUUCUUAGUAGUUUAUUAUAUGAUAUGUCCUCUAUCUGAGGACAGCAUAUUGAGUGGAUUUUUGGAGCAGGAAAAUGGAAUAGGAGCUUGCUCUGCCCACUCCACACAUCAGCCUGGUAUUACAGUACCUCCAGGAACGGCCUCACCCCU